GGAACGGGCACGAAGGAGUGGAGCUAAGCCCAAUGCUAAGACAUGGGAGAUCUUCAUGGACUAUUAUCUGCAAAGCGGGGAUAUCAAAUCAGCAAUUGAUUGUGUGGACAAAGCAGUUUCAAUUGGAAGGGGUGAUGGCAGCAAGUGGUUUCCAUCAUCUGCCAUUGUAACAAAAUUCAUGAGUCAUUUUAAACAACAUAAAGAUGUCGCUGGU
Molecule: unclassified non-coding RNA, 214 nt
Filed under: Hevea brasiliensis (rubber tree)
Lineage: Eukaryota; Viridiplantae; Streptophyta; Magnoliopsida; Malpighiales; Euphorbiaceae
Source: RNAcentral